Molecule: transfer RNA, 82 nt
Filed under: Fusarium poae
Lineage: Eukaryota; Fungi; Ascomycota; Sordariomycetes; Hypocreales; Nectriaceae
Rfam family: tRNA
About the family: Transfer RNA (tRNA) molecules are approximately 80 nucleotides in length.
Source: Rfam by way of RNAcentral
GCGUAAUUGGUUUAGUGGUAAAAUUCUCCGUUGCCAUCCAAGUAACAUCGGGGAGCCCUGGGUUCGAUUCCCAGAUUACGCA